This 226-nucleotide ribosomal RNA is filed under the name Microdochium nivale. Its description in RNAcentral is "partial 28S-like ribosomal RNA". Lineage: Eukaryota; Fungi; Ascomycota; Sordariomycetes; Xylariales; Microdochiaceae. The record is from RNAcentral.
CGUGAAAUUGUUGAAAGGGAAGGAUUUAUGACCAGACCUUUGCUUGCGGAUCAUCGGUGUUCUCACCGGUGCACUUUGCUUGGUUGAGGCCAGCAUCAGUUUUCCGGGCGGGAUAAAGACUUCAGGAACGUGACUCCCCCGGGAGUGUUAUAGCCUGCUGUGUAAUACCGCCGCUGGGACUGAGGACCGCGCGUCGGCUAGGAUGCUGGCAUAAUGGUCAUCAAUC